This 975-nucleotide long non-coding RNA is filed under the name Bemisia tabaci. RNAcentral describes it as "lncRNA ENSSSA2NGG013067". Lineage: Eukaryota; Metazoa; Arthropoda; Insecta; Hemiptera; Aleyrodidae. The record is from RNAcentral.
GAAAAUCAUGCAUGCUAUUAUACAGUUAAGCUCGUUUUGGAUAAGAUAGUCAAAUUAAAAGAUGCAUCUAAAUUGAUUCAUGUAUGUGGAAAUAUUGUUGCAGUGCAAGGCUUACCCAUUCAGUUUUAUAUUUACGGUCUCCUACCUGUAUUCCUGUGGUGGUUUGCAUUCAAACACAACGCAUUGAAUGUUUUUGAGGGAUUCCUUCAAACUUGUUAUGAAUGUUGGUAUCUACCAAUAACUUAUGCCAUUGGAGUGGAGUUUUUCGUGCUGACCUUUUUCCAGCGAUGGGCAAUCAGCGCAGUAACGCUAGCUUUAGUGUUUUGGCCAUGGUUUCAUCUCUCAACUCUGAGGCGGCAAAAAUGUCAAUUUCUUGUCUAUAUGUGGACUUGCUCGACACUGGGAAUAGCUAUUUUUCCGUUUUUACCAGUCACCGGUUUCGAAUCUAAUAUAUUUUUUGUGGUAAUAUCUGGGUUGUUAUCUAUUGUUUUCAACGUUAGUAUACUCUUACUGCCAGUGCUGAACCACUGUUUUAUUUUAAAACCCGAAGAAGGUAGUAGUGGCUGUUAUCUUUCAUUGGGUACCAUUCGGCACAUUUGGGCACUCCUGGCAUCAUUCUUAGUUUGUAUAGCAAUGUAUUUCAAUCUGUCAGUGAAGUACUGUCAGAUUUCAUCCUGGAUCCUGUUAGGAAACGCUGUUAUUAUUCCUGUCAACAUGAUGAAAGGAGAUGUGUCCCUUCGUUUGGUUGGGUUGUUCCUUUCAAUGACCUCCCCCAUGUUACUUCUGUCUAUAGGACAUGAGUCGCUCUUUUAUUUUUAUUUUCGGCUCAUCUGCUUAUUUGGUUCGCACUUGAAUAUCAGCUGGUUUCGCGAGUCUGUAUCGGUGGUAUCAGAGAUGGCACCAUUGGCGGAAUCUCAGGAAACACUAGUCCUGUCACCUGGCGGAGAGCUUUUUUCUUUCUUACGUUCUUAUUAA